RNAcentral lists this ribosomal RNA (443 nucleotides) under uncultured bacterium. Its description in RNAcentral is "partial 16S ribosomal RNA". It matches the Rfam family "Bacterial small subunit ribosomal RNA", at positions 338 to 795 of the family's 1533-position model. The record is from RNAcentral.
CCUACGGGAGGCAGCAGUGGGGAAUAUUGGGCAAUGGGCGCAAGCCUGACUCAGCAACGCCGCGUGAAGGAAGAAGGCUUUCGGGUUGUAAACUUCUUUUCUCAGGGACGAAGCCAGUGACGGUACCUGAGGAAUAAGCCACGGCUAACUACGUGCCAGCAGCCGCCGUACUACGUAGGUGGCAAGCGUUAUCCGGAUUUACUGGGUGUAAAGGGCGUGUAGGGGGGAAAGCAAGGCAGAUGUGAAAACCCUGGGCUCAACCUGUGGCCUGCAUUUGAAACUGUUGUUCUUGAGUACUGGAGAGGCAGACGGAAUUCCUAGUGUAGCGGUGAAAUGCGUAGAUAUUAGGAGGAACACCAGUGGCGAAGGCGGUCUGCUGGACAGCAACUGACGCUGAGGCGCGAAAGCGUGGGGAGCAAACAGGAUUAGAUACCCGGGUAGUC